Long non-coding RNA from Diabrotica virgifera virgifera (western corn rootworm), 4619 nucleotides. RefSeq lists it as uncharacterized. The transcript is spliced from 2 exons. The record is from RefSeq and is a predicted model, not a curated record. NCBI's taxonomy places the organism in Eukaryota, Metazoa, Arthropoda, Insecta, Coleoptera, Chrysomelidae.
CUUGAACCCUUUUUAAUAUUUUUCAUUUUACUCAGUUUUUGAAUAUUUAGAAACUGUCUUUCGGUCCUUUUCCUAGACGAAGAGAAGGUAAAUGCGUGGCCUAAGUGUCCUCUAUUUGCUUUCUCCUAUUUUUCGUCGUCUCUACGUGAUUAUAUAUUGUAAAAUCCGGAGAUAUGGGAUGCAGCCAGAAAGCAGUUUAUUAACGAAAAGUCUUAGAUUUAAAAUAUUGUUUAUUAUAUUUUUAUUUCAAUUAUUCUAAUUGUUUACAAAGUAGUAAACUUUGUAUCUGGGGCUUUUCGUUGUUUUCCUCGUAAUAAGAGAGAUGUCGCUUAUUUGCGUCUCAAAAGGUGGGUUCAUUGCAUCGCGAUGGUUUGCCUUAAAAGAGGCAGAAUGUUUAUAUUCUCUUCAGAGUUGUGACUGCAUAAACUUCACUGAUGAUGCAUAAGGAUGCUGAAAUAGUUGCUAUAUGGAGAUGGUAGUCCAACUCUGAAUCGAAUAUAAACAAAACCUGCCUUGAACCCUUUUUAAUCUCUACCUAAUAUAUUGGAAGAAUUUGGCAUACCAUCAAAAUUAACACGACUAGUGCAAAUGACAAUGACAGAAACAGAAGCACAGGUAUGUAUUCAAGGACAGAUCACUGAUGCGUUUACGAUAACGCAAGGACUGAAACAAGGCGACGGACUGGCUCCAACGCUUUUUAAUCUUGUUCUUGAAUAUGUAAUUAGACGGUUGACGGUGAGCGGAAAUAACAUACUUACAAACAAAUCUACCCAAUUAGCAGCAUACGCAGAUGAUAUAAACAUAAUGAGCAGAACAAUGAAUGCAGCGGAAGAAACCUACGUUGAGUUGAAACAGAGUGCAGAAGCAGUAUAUAGGGCUAGCAAUAAAUACAAAUAAAACAAAACUACUCAUACAAACCAGAUCAAAUAGACCGGCGCAACAACACUUUAUGGACGAUAUAGAACAUGUGAAUAGAUUGACCUACCUAGGAAUGGAUCUGGUUGCAAGCAAUGAAGAAGAACCGGAAAUAAAUAGAAGGCUUGUGCUGGCAAAUAAAACCUAUUUCGCGAUGGGCCACAUAUUCAAAUCGCGAGACGUACACCGGAAAACAAAACUCCGGGUAUAUAAAACAAUAAUCAGGCCCAUAGUAAGUUAUGGCUGCGAAACAUGGGUGGUGACUGGUGACACAGAAAUCUGCCAAUGCAUUAGAUGUGUUUGAAAGGAAAAUAUUACGUAGGAUACUGGGCCCAAUAAGUGAAAAUAACUGGCGAAUUAGGUAUAAUAGAGAAAUAUACGAGCAAUAUAGCGAACCAACUCUAGCACAAUACACUAAACUGCAGAGAUUACGGUGGGCAGGGCACGUGGUCCGCAUGCAUGAGAAUAGAAUCCCCAGAAAAUUGCUAAAUGCAAGAUUGCAGGAAAAAAGACCUGUUGGAAGACCUGAAAAGAGAUGGGAAGACGAAGUCGAUGAGGAUGCCAGGAACUUAUUCCUGGGAACGCGCUCAUGGAAAAGAACAGCGGUAAAUCGAAAUGAUUGGAGAAGCUUGUUGAAGGAGGCCAAGGCUCGAUUUGGGCAGUAGUGCCAUUGGAUGGAUGGAAAUUUGAAUUAUGUACUCCUCUUGGUUUAAAGACAGACUAUAGCAAUCUGAAAAUUAAAGGAAUAACGCAGAUAACACAAAAAAUCUCUGAUUUAACUUAAUAGGGCUUUUCAUCGAUUAUCAUUUGUUUCGAGCUUCUGUCAUAUGUUGUAUGAUCUGUGUAUAAUAUUAAUAUACACGGAUUAUAUAACAUAUGCCAGAAGCUCGAAACAAAUGACUGAAUGAAAAGCCCUUUUCAUUCAUUUUUCCGACUGUAAUUAACCUAUAUAAUGACAGAAGUGUCAAAAUUUCAUAACAGUGGAGUAAACUUGCCUGAGGUUGGACCCAAUUAAUUACAAACAAGCAUUACGGCGCGGUAAAUUUGAAUUACUCCUCUUGGUUUAAAAACAAAACUUAGUAUUAGGACCGUGCAAGUUCGGCAAAGCGACCCCUAUUUCUACGCUCUAUACUAAAAUUCGCACUUUUAAUUAUAUUGGCCAAUUAUAUUAGUCCUGGUUACUGGAUAAUUGUCAAGGCCAUAGUCCAAAAAAAUAAUGAGAAAAAAUAAGAUUCAGGUUAUGUUAUGAAAACGUCAACAAUUGUAUGAAGUAAAUAAAAUUAGUUAUUAAAAUGCAGUACUGCAAGCAAAAUAAAAUUAACUAAUUUACCUUUACGUAAUAAUUGCAUAUCAUAUCAAUAUUGUGGAGCAAUAUAUAAUUUUUCUGCUUCAUUGACAGAAGGUAUGAAAUAUACGUCAAUUUGACAAUUUCAAUUGACUGAUGAAUUAUUUAUAAAUAUGAAUUAUUUAAGAUAGUUGCAUAUCUUAAAUAUGAAUUAUUUAAGAUAGUUGCAAUAUUUCUCCGCGACUCGCGCAGGGUCGUUUCUCGUUUCCCCUUCCAAGUACUUGCACACCGCCAUAGCCACCUUUACUUUACAAGCCAUGAAGUUGAAACUUGGCAACAUCUAAGCGUAGACCGGUUAAUUCUCACAGUUCUCAUUUAUUUUUAAAUGUUUUUAAAUAAUAUUCACUGUAUUUACAGAAAAACUCAAACAUUUUACAAUAUUUCGUGCUCCAAAUUAUAAAGAAUAUUAAAAGAUGCCAAGCCGUUGCUGUGUGCCAGAGUGCAAAAGCAAUUACGAUAGCAGUCUUAAAAAGAAUGAACAACCAGAAAGCACUUUUUUAUUUCCAAAGGAUCCAAAGCUGCGAGAACUUUGGUUACAAUGUAUCCACAGGAAAAAUUUUGUUACUGGAACAUCAGCGUAGUAUGUGCCAAACAUUUUUAUUCUGAUGACAUCGAGAGAGUUAGAGAAUGGGUAGAUAAGGAAGGCAACAAACAUGUAGAGAAAUUAACGAAUCCUAAGUUAAAACCUUCUGCAGUUCCUCGCAUUUUUCCAAUUCAGGAUGUUUCUAAAUAAGUGCGAAAAACUUUAAAGGGAAAGGAACAAAAUGCAAAAUUUUGACGCCUGUCAAAAUUUUCAGUGUAUUUUAAAUGCAAUCAUUUUUUUCGAAUUCUGAGAAAACUAAUAAGUAUUUUUGAAAAAUUGAAACGCUGAAUGAAAGAUUACUUUAUUACCGAGGGCCGAAAGUCCCUUAGAAUGAAUGAAAGGUUGUUUUUGAAUGACAUAUUUGAAACUAAAAAUCACACUAAAUUUUCUUAAUUUUUCGCCCCUGUAACUUAUUAAAAUAAACAUAGAAGUUUUCAGGGACUUUCGGCCCUCGGUCCUAACGUAAUCUUUCAUUCUGCGUUUAAAUUUUUGAAAAAUACUCAUUAGUUUUCUUAGGAUUCGAAAAAAAUUAAUCCCAUGUAUAUUCUUGUUAUUGGUUUUUUUUUGUAUAAUAAACGUUACUUACAAGGAAGUACUUUUAAUUUUAUUUUGUACAAACUUCUAAUUAAUAAUAACGAGCGAUCCAAAAUUAUUGGGAUCAAAGCUAGCCGUGCAAAAAAUUACGUAUGUCCUCUUUGAAUCUGAAUUUAUAUCAUUAGGGAAUCCAUCGACCUGUCAAAGUUAAAUCACGUGAUCUUUGGUUGGCACACAAAACCGUUCUUAACCUAAACUCAAUGUAAUUUUUGAUUUUUCGUAUUUGUUUUUCGUCGUGAUUUUUUAGCUAAUUUAGUAUUAAAAGACAUUCAUUAGAUUAAUUAGUUUAUAAACUUUACGUUUUUGGUGAUCUUGAGUGCUGACAACAUGCCUGUGACUUGUAUAGUAGUGAACUGUGGAAGUCCAACUGAUCAGAAUAAUGUUAAUUUUAAUUUGUUUUUUGUCGUGAUUUUGAGCUUAAUAUAGUAUUUAAAGACAUUCAUUGGAUUAAUUAUUUUAUAAACUUUACGUUUUUGGUGAUUUUGAGUGCUGACAACAUGCCUGUGACUUGUAUAGUAGUGAACUGUGGAAGUCCAACUGAUCAGAAUAAUGUUAAUUUUAAUUUGUUUUUUAUCGUGAUUUUGAGCUUAAUAUAGUAUUUAAAGACAUUCAUUAGAUUGAUUAUUUUAUAAACUUUUCGUUUUUGGUGAUUUUAAGUGCUGAAAAUGGCUAAUUGGCUAUGUCAAAGCCAUUAAUAAAAAAAAAGUGCUGAAAACAUGCCUGUAACUUGUAUAGUAGUGAACUGUGAAAGUCGAGCUGAUCGGAUAAUGUUAAUUUUUUUCGUGUUCCCUCUAUAGGGCUUUUCAUUCACAGUCAUUUGUUUUGAGCUUCUGUCAUAUGUCCUAUAAUCCGUGUAUAGUAAUAUUAUACACGAAUUAUACAACAUCUAACGGAAGCUCGAAACAAAUGACAAUCAAUGAAAAGCCCUAUUAGAAACUCAUUUAUGUUUCCUCGCCUAACUAAAUUAUCAAAAAACAGGACGCACUCAUGCUAGGAAUUAUGGUUUUUAUUAAUAUUAUUACAAUUAUUUAUAUGUGACACUAACGUAACUAGUGACAUUAAUUUUAGGCCAAUGUGACAAACUUUAUUAAUACUAAAUUUUAACAUUUAUCCCCUAUUUUGUUAAAACAAUAUUAUUUUGUUUUUCAUUCUAUUCAAAAUAAAUGCAGUUUUGACAGGGAA